AGAAGUCGAGGUGUGAGCAGUAGCGGU
RNAcentral lists this non-coding RNA (27 nucleotides) under Homo sapiens (human). Lineage: Eukaryota; Metazoa; Chordata; Mammalia; Primates; Hominidae. The record is from RNAcentral.